Molecule: unclassified non-coding RNA, 300 nt
Filed under: uncultured Trechisporales
Lineage: Eukaryota; Fungi; Basidiomycota; Agaricomycetes; Trechisporales
Description: sequence contains 5.8S rRNA gene, ITS2
Rfam family: 5.8S ribosomal RNA (bases 1-71)
Source: RNAcentral
GUGAGUCAUCGAAUCUUUGAACGCACCUUGCGCCCCUUGGUAUUCCGAGGGGCAUGCCUGUUUGAGUGUCUUGAAAUCAUCAAGCCCCUCGGCGCUCGUCGCCGGAGGGCUUGGACUUGGGGGUCUUGCUGACGCUUCGGCGCCGGCUCCCCUUAAAUGAAUCGGUCGGGCUUUCGUGUGGCUUGUCCCUUGGCGUUGUAUCAACCUCGUCCUGGGAUGGCGCUCGACUCGAAGGCCCCUCCUCGACCUGCCUAUGGAGCGGCGGUCAAAGGCGCUUUGCCACUUUGUGAUCUGACCUCA